GCCAGCCCGCUCAGAACUUAAAUGAAUUGACGGGGGCCCGCACAAGCGGUGGAGUAUGUGGUUUAAUUCGAUGCAACGCGAAGAACCUUACCUGGUCUUGACAUCCCGGAGACCCUUAGGAAACUAGGGGGUGCUUCCAUCUGGAAGAAUCUGGAGACAGGUGCUGCAUGGCUGUCGUCAGCUCGUGUCGUGAGAUGUUGGGUUAAGUCCCGCAACGAGCGCAACCCUUGCCUUUAGUUGCCAGUAGUUCGGCUGGGCACUCUAAAGGGACUGCCGGUGUUAAACCGGAGGAAGGUGGGGAUGACGUCAAGUCCUCAUGGCCUUUAUGACCAGGGCUACACACGUACUACAAUGGCCGAUACAAAGGGCAGCGACACUGCGAGGUGAAGCCAAUCCCGUAAAAUCGGUCUCAGUCCGGAUUGGAGUCUGCAACUCGACUCCAUGAAGUUGGAAUCGCUAGUAAUCGUGGAUCAGCAUGCCACGGUGAAUACGUUCCCGGGCCUU
RNAcentral lists this ribosomal RNA (504 nucleotides) under uncultured Desulfobulbus sp. Its description in RNAcentral is "bacterial SSU rRNA". It matches the Rfam family "Bacterial small subunit ribosomal RNA", at positions 903 to 1382 of the family's 1533-position model. Lineage: Bacteria; Pseudomonadati; Thermodesulfobacteriota; Desulfobulbia; Desulfobulbales; Desulfobulbaceae. The record is from RNAcentral.